Molecule: ribosomal RNA, 458 nt
Filed under: uncultured bacterium
Lineage: Bacteria
Description: bacterial SSU rRNA
Rfam family: Bacterial small subunit ribosomal RNA
Source: RNAcentral
AAUCAACGCUGGCGGCGUGCCUAACACAUGCAAGUCGAACGCGAAAGCCCUUUCGGGGGUAAGUAGAGUGGCGUCCGGGUGAGUAACACGUGGGUAAUCUGCCUUCGGGUGGGGAAUAACCCAGGGAAACUUGGGCUAAUACCGCAUAAUGCAGCGGCACCUAAUGGUGAUUAGUUGUUAAAGCGGGGGAUCGCAAGACCUCGCGCCUGAAGAGGAGCCUGCGGCAGAUUAGCUAGUUGGUGAGGUAAUGGCUCACCAAGGCUGCGAUCUGUAGCUGGUCUGAGAGGACGGCCAGCCACACUGGCACUGACACACGGGCCAGACUCCUACGGGAGGCAGCAGUGGGGAAUUUUGGGCAAUGGGCGAAAGCCUGACCCAGCAACGCCGCGUGAGGGAGGAAAUCCUUCGGGAUGUAAACCUCACAAGCAAGGGAAGAGAGCUACGGGCUGAAUAAUCCC